UUGACAGUCCUGGAGACUGAAAUCCUUUUUUUACAGAACAGUUACAGCAAGGGCAGCAGCAGUGGUAGCUUCCCCACACCACUGUGAUCUAUUCUUUUGGAGGGACCACCUCUAGGAUGAAAGGGUAGUUCAGUCUCCAUACUCAUUCAAUUAUUUGCCUCU
This 162-nucleotide small RNA is filed under the name Chrysemys picta bellii (western painted turtle). RNAcentral describes it as "TUC338 (ENSCPBG00000025157.1)". The record is from RNAcentral. Lineage: Eukaryota; Metazoa; Chordata; Testudines; Emydidae.